Long non-coding RNA from Hibiscus syriacus, 216 nucleotides. RefSeq lists it as uncharacterized. Lineage: Eukaryota; Viridiplantae; Streptophyta; Magnoliopsida; Malvales; Malvaceae. The record is from RefSeq and is a predicted model, not a curated record. The transcript has 2 exons.
GUUGCUUUAAUAAUGAUCUCUUUAUAUUUGUCGGAAGUUACAAUUUUCAGCUUGAUUUUAACCGGAUUCUUGCGGGAAGAAGCUAACAAAGACAGGUUACAAUAUAAAGACCACCCUGUUACAAAAAUUGGCCUCUUGGUUAAGGAAAAAGGAAAGAAACAAUUGAUCACUGUAAUUUAUGAUUUUAUCGUUGGUGGCAUUUAUAACACAACUAAA